RNAcentral lists this non-coding RNA (103 nucleotides) under Fictibacillus enclensis. Its description in RNAcentral is "Guanine sequence". It matches the Rfam family "Purine riboswitch aptamer". Rfam says of the family: Riboswitches are metabolite binding domains within certain messenger RNAs that serve as precision sensors for their corresponding targets. Allosteric rearrangement of mRNA structure is mediated by ligand binding, and this results in modulation of gene expression. The record is from Rfam by way of RNAcentral. Lineage: Bacteria; Bacillati; Bacillota; Bacilli; Caryophanales; Fictibacillaceae.
GAAGUAAACCCAUAUCGAUUUCAUAUAGUUUCGAUAAUACGGAUCGAAAGUAUCUACUGGAGUACCUUAAAUAUUCCAUGCUAUGAAAUCAUUCUUUUCUUUU